RNAcentral lists this small RNA (126 nucleotides) under Yersinia hibernica. RNAcentral's name for it is "RtT sRNA". It matches the Rfam family "RtT RNA". Rfam says of the family: This family represents a bacterial cis-regulatory element known as RtT RNA. The exact function of RtT is unknown although it is thought that it may be involved in changing the cellular response in relation to amino acid starvation. Lineage: Bacteria; Pseudomonadati; Pseudomonadota; Gammaproteobacteria; Enterobacterales; Yersiniaceae. The record is from RNAcentral.
UACUACACAAUAUCGUGUGGGAGAGACCCUGCGUUCAGGUUCGAGCCGAGCGAAGCGAGACAACAACGCGCCAGCGUUGACCCGAAGGGCGAGGCCAGCGGCCGAGUUAUCCCGCACGACCCACCA